GCAUUGGUGAUUCAGAGGUAGAAUUCUCAACUUCUUUGCAAGAGACCCUGGUUUGAUUCCUGGCCAAUGCA
Molecule: transfer RNA, 71 nt
Filed under: Loxodonta africana (African savanna elephant)
Lineage: Eukaryota; Metazoa; Chordata; Mammalia; Proboscidea; Elephantidae
Rfam family: tRNA
About the family: Transfer RNA (tRNA) molecules are approximately 80 nucleotides in length. Their secondary structure includes four short double-helical elements and three loops (D, anti-codon, and T loops).
Source: Rfam by way of RNAcentral